RNAcentral lists this small RNA (142 nucleotides) under Xenorhabdus szentirmaii DSM 16338. Its description in RNAcentral is "Leu_leader". It matches the Rfam family "Leucine operon leader". Rfam says of the family: At least 6 amino acid operons are known to be regulated by attenuation. In each a leader sequence of 150-200 bp is found upstream of the first gene in the operon. Lineage: Bacteria; Pseudomonadati; Pseudomonadota; Gammaproteobacteria; Enterobacterales; Morganellaceae. The record is from RNAcentral.
UAAAGGUUAACUUACAUGUGUCACUCUAUUCGCCUACUAAACCUACUACUACUCGCCUUAAAUGCGCGCGGUGUAAUGGUGGGUGAAAGACUGAAUUAAGUUAACCCCCAUUAAAAAACCCGCGCAUGGCGCGGGUUUUUUU